UGGAUCCAGACUUUGAUUCUGGCUCAGGAUGAACGCUAGCUACAGGCUUAACACAUGCAAGUCGAGGGGCAGCGAUGAAGAAAGCUUGCUUUCUUCAGGCGGCGACCGGCGCACGGGUGAGUAACGCGUAUCGAACCUGCCUCAUACUCAGGAAUAGCCUUGCGAAAGUAAGAUUAAUGCCCGAUGUUAUUAGGAUAUCACAUGAUGUUUUAAUUAAAGAUUUAUCGGUAUGAGAUGGCGAUGCGUCCCAUUAGCUUGUUGGCGGGGUAACGGCCCACCAAGGCAUCGAUGGGUAGGGGUUCUGAGAGGAAGGUCCCCCACAUUGGAACUGAGACACGGUCCAAACUCCUACGGGAGGCAGCAGUGAGGAAUAUUGGUCAAUGGACGCAAGUCUGAACCAGCCAAGUAGCGUGCAGGAAGACGGCCCUCUGGGUUGUAAACUGCUUUUAGGUGGGGAUAAAGUGCACCACGUGUGGUGUUUUGUAUGUACCAUCAGAAAAAGGACCGGCUAAUUCCGUGCCAGCAGCCGCGGUAAUACGGAAGGUUCAGGCGUUAUCCGGAUUUAUUGGGUUUAAAGGGAGCGCAGGCGGACCUUUAAGUCAGCUGUGAAAUACGGCGGCUCAACCGUCGAACUGCAGUUGAUACUGGAGGUCUUGAGUGCACACAGGGAUACUGGAAUUCAUGGUGUAGCGGUGAAAUGCUCAGAUAUCAUGAAGAACUCCGAUCGCGAAGGCAGGUAUCCGGGGUGCAACUGACGCUGAGGCUCGAAAGUGCGGGUAUCAAACAGGAUUAGAUACCCUGGUAGUCCGCACAGUAAACGAUGAAUACCCGCGAUUUGCGAUACAGUGUAAGUUGCCAAGCGAAAGCGUUAAGUAUUCCACCUGGGGAGUACGCCGGCAACGGUGCAACUCAAAUGAAUUGACGGA
RNAcentral lists this ribosomal RNA (926 nucleotides) under uncultured bacterium. Its description in RNAcentral is "bacterial SSU rRNA". It matches the Rfam family "Bacterial small subunit ribosomal RNA", at positions 1 to 917 of the family's 1533-position model. RNAcentral also lists the same sequence under 1 other name. The record is from RNAcentral.